AAGAAGGCGUCACAUCCCCUGGAACUGGAGUUUACACAUUUUUGUGAACCAGCAUGUGCAGGGAGUUGAACGUGGGCCCUCUGCAAGAGCAAUAAGUGCUCUUAACUGCUGAGCGAUCUCUCCAGCUAUAGAUCCAUGCAUGACCCUUUAAAGGGACCUGAUCCUGCAGGAUGCUCCCCUCUGGACCCUGGCUUAGGCACAGACCACACCCAAACACCAGUAUCCAAGCACAAACCAAACACAAAGCAAUCCUUUAUUAAGCAAAGCAGAGACAGGGUGGCUGAAUCUGAACUGGACAGAAUCUUUAUCACUUGUCUCUUGGAAAAAGUGGAAUAUUGAAAUCACCUACUGUUAAUAUUCUGAUCCCACCCCUUGGGGCCGCCCUGCGUCCUGAUGUAGAAGCCUCUUCUUAAGGAAAAACCCCGCCCCUUUCUCUCUCCUUUUGCUUUUCCUCCCACGAAGUGCACAUCCCUUCCUUCCCCCCCCUCUUUCUCUCUCUGUCUCCCUCUUUCUGUCUC
Molecule: long non-coding RNA, 518 nt
Organism: Onychomys torridus (southern grasshopper mouse)
Lineage: Eukaryota; Metazoa; Chordata; Mammalia; Rodentia; Cricetidae
Exons: 3
Source: RefSeq, a predicted model, not a curated record